This 292-nucleotide ribosomal RNA is filed under the name uncultured bacterium. RNAcentral describes it as "partial 16S ribosomal RNA". It matches the Rfam family "Bacterial small subunit ribosomal RNA", at positions 505 to 796 of the family's 1533-position model. The record is from RNAcentral.
GUGUCAGCAGCCGCGGUAAUACGUAGGGUGCAAGCGUUGUCCGGAAUUACUGGGCGUAAAGAGCUCGUAGGCGGUUUGUCGCGUCGUCUGUGAAAACUCGAGGCUCAACCUCGAGCUUGCAGGCGAUACGGGCAGACUUGAGUACUGCAGGGGAGACUGGAAUUCCUGGUGUAGCGGUGAAAUGCGCAGAUAUCAGGAGGAACACCGGUGGCGAAGGCGGGUCUCUGGGCAGUAACUGACGCUGAGGAGCGAAAGCGUGGGUAGCGAACAGGAUUAGAUACCCGCGUAGUCC